CAGGGUUUCUAGGAAGAUAGGAAAGGUUUGAGAUCUUCUGUGGUCGCUUGGGAGCGUUGGCGGCCAGUCAAGGUGUUUACACACUGGUAACAAGAUCCGCUGAAAUCUCACGCUUGCGCCAGUCGGGGUAGGGACUUAGCCACAGGUGAGUUCGCUGAACUCCGCUGCUGCAUCUGCUCCCACCCCAAGGCCCCAGGCUGGACCAACCGAACUGGGAUUCGCUGUGCUUUACUAAGAGCAUGGGCCCUGAAGGAGUGAGCGGGGUUUUGAUUCCUCUUCCCAAGAACAAGAAUGCCCCCGAGGAAUUUCUCACUCUGUGAAAGUGCAAAACUAAUUUCCCCCGGUAAGCGCUGUUGCCGAUUCCCAAAAGGGCUUGGAAAGAUCCCAGUAGGAAUGUUUAGUAGUUUCCAAAUCUCUUCACCCAGCAGCUGAACACGCAGACACUGACCAUCAAAAACUUCUUGGUGGGUGGACACACGUCCUCCUUCACAGAUAGGCCUUCUUUUGGUACAUCUCAGUCCCCAUGUUAUGAAGACUUUGGACAUUAGCCAGAGGAUGCACAAUCAUGAACUCAGUGCAGACACAGCACACAUAUACAGGUUCUCUAGACCCAAACAGCUCUGCAACUCAGUUUGGAAAACCUCCAGUUAGUGAUUGCAGAGCUGGCCAGUCAAUCUCUUCAACCAAGCCUAGUGACAUCAUCAAUCAUUGCUUCACCUCGACAGAAUUCCCGGAGCAAACUUCUGGAAAAGUGAGGAGAUCAAGCGUCGAGCACAAGUCAGCUGUGGAGAUGACAGCAGAGCUGGACCGAGAGCCGGCCUCCGGGCUUUGGUUGCAUCACACGU
Molecule: long non-coding RNA, 845 nt
Organism: Physeter macrocephalus (sperm whale)
Lineage: Eukaryota; Metazoa; Chordata; Mammalia; Artiodactyla; Physeteridae
Exons: 3
Source: RefSeq, a predicted model, not a curated record